This 119-nucleotide ribosomal RNA is filed under the name Pteropus alecto (black flying fox). Lineage: Eukaryota; Metazoa; Chordata; Mammalia; Chiroptera; Pteropodidae. The record is from RNAcentral.
GUCUACGGCCAUGCCACCCUGAACAAGCCCGAUCCCGUCUGAUCUCAGAAGCUAAGCAGGGUCGAGCCUGGUUAGUCCUCGGAUGGGAGACCAUCUAGGAAAACCAGGUGCUGUAGGCG